GGGGGUGGGGGGUAUCCUCCAAGCAGGGCAGGGGUCAGCGUCUGCCCCUCCCCAGAAACUCUGGGGUCUGUCCUCAAACCUCCUUGGCUGCCAAAAUCUGCGCUGCGGACAUUCCCUGCCAAAAUGCAAGACCAGCUUCCUCCCGAAGGCUGAGCAGAAAGGGGAAAGGUCGAAUCUUAAAACUGGCGUCAGGCAGGACGGGGGGGAAACUCCGACCAGGGCCCGUCUAAGCCGAGGUCGGGCUGGACCCCUCGUGUGCCAGGUGGGAAAGAGCGCAGAGGCCAGGCCGGUACCCUCAGCGGCUUCGUCCGCAUGCGGCCAGGUCCCCCUUCCGCGCUAGCAGUCCCGGGGCGCGCUCCCCGGCCUCGGACCCCGGCGGCGAGCCGCGCGGACCCCUGCCUGCGACCCGAGGGAGGCCCGGACCCCUAGCCGGCAGGACUGCGCGCCGCCCCUCCCCGUUGGUCCAGGCGAGCGCCUCGCUUCCCCUCCCCCCUUCCCGCCUCCCCGGCCCGUGUCCCCGCCUUCCCCGCGGGCGACGGGCGGCGGCGGCGGCGGUGGCGGGAGGAGCGGGCCGAGCCGAGGCAGCCCCGACCUUGCGCGCUGCGAUGUAGCGAACCAGCGAGGACCGAAGCUGCGCGCACAGCCGGAGACACAGCUGGAACCGGGGCCCCAGCCGAAGUCGAAACCUCAGAGUCCGUGGCGAGCGAGCCCGGAGCCGACGAGCGGAGUACGCAGCGCAACCCGCGUGGGGGGCUGGGGACUUCGAGGCGGCCCAGACAGGAGUCGAUUCUGAACAAAACAAGUCAUUUGGGGCUUGAGGUGGGCACGAGCCGCGCGGGACUUGGAGGCCAGAUGCGUUUCUUUUGUGCGGCCGAGGGAGAAGUCGGUGCGUCAACGGAGAAGGAGGGAGCGGC
This 914-nucleotide long non-coding RNA is filed under the name Felis catus (domestic cat). RNAcentral's name for it is "lncRNA (ENSFCAG00000051627.1)". The record is from RNAcentral. Lineage: Eukaryota; Metazoa; Chordata; Mammalia; Carnivora; Felidae.